RNAcentral lists this long non-coding RNA (210 nucleotides) under Solanum tuberosum (potato). RNAcentral's name for it is "long non-coding RNA (STUB_LNC003742)". The record is from RNAcentral. Lineage: Eukaryota; Viridiplantae; Streptophyta; Magnoliopsida; Solanales; Solanaceae.
CAUCUUGAACUUUAGUAGAUGACUCCCCUUCACUGGUUCCUGGCUGUUUGCUCAAACUUGCUCCAUCCUGCAUCCUUUCAACAUUUGUUGAACCUGUCACUGUUUCAUUGAAACUUGGGGUAACCACCUUUGUAGGAAGUGGUGGCCACUGUUCCAUUGGUUGCUUCCUUGCCAUCUCCUUUGGUGUUUCCUUCACAAUACUACCCUUAG